This 902-nucleotide long non-coding RNA is filed under the name Triticum aestivum (bread wheat). Its description in RNAcentral is "long non-coding RNA (TAES_LNC020873)". Lineage: Eukaryota; Viridiplantae; Streptophyta; Magnoliopsida; Poales; Poaceae. The record is from RNAcentral.
GCACCCCCCUCCCUCUCACUGCCGGCCGCCCCGCCCCCGCGUCGACGAGUAGUCCUACACAGUGCAUACGGUGGUGCACGCACACGCGCUCACUGACGCGCCCAUCAUCAUCCCUGUCCCCUACCCCUCCCCCACUCGUGCGCUGUGCUGGUGUUUGCGCCGGCUCCAGCAGGCGCAGCUCACAACCAAAGCCUGCUGCUGCUGCUCAUCCUCAUCAUGACGGCGUGUGCAGCCAGCUGAUCGGGCGCAGGCGCCUCCCUUCAUGCACCUGCUCUUAAUGGGUACGCACUCCUCAUGUCGCUUCUUCUUGGAUGGUUUCUCAUUUUCUAGGCCAUUUUUGAGGUUCCUGCUGCGCCCUUCUUGGCGCUGCUCUGCUCUCCUCUCCUCUGCGCAUUUCUUGGUUCUAGACUUCUCUCUUCCUUCUUGGAACUCCAUGUAUGCCCCUCCUCCUCGGUCUUUGCGAAAGCGAUUUUCACAAGCUUGUCAUCUUCUUGCUGUGGUAGGUACCGCUCCUAUGCACGUAGUUUACUUAUAACCACGUUUACUUCUUGGGUUGGGCAUUCGCACCUGCAUUACUCUAUUCGUUCAACAAGAGGUUUUACUAGCAACAGAUUCCAGUUUGAUUUAAAGGGAAGGGAAUGGUGCAUUGGUGACGGUCACAUCGCAUCGCCCCCUUUCGCCACUUCCUGCUUCUUAUUCCUUCCUCUAAAGCUGCAUCCAUCCCAUCUUUUUCUUUUCCGCUUUUGCUCUUUCCCCUUUGAUCGGUUUCGAUGCCGCCACACUCUUCAUCUUGACCGCAUCACUCACCACCACCCACAUUGUGCUGCCUGCCAUUGCUCUCUCUGUCUCUGUCUCACUCUCGCUCUUGAUCUCGUCUUGCUGGGAAGCAGAGGAACUUCCGG